This 301-nucleotide ribosomal RNA is filed under the name uncultured bacterium. RNAcentral's name for it is "partial 16S ribosomal RNA". It matches the Rfam family "Bacterial small subunit ribosomal RNA", at positions 509 to 809 of the family's 1533-position model. The record is from RNAcentral.
CAGUAGCCGCGGUAAUACGUAGGGUGCGAGCGUUGUCCGGAAUUAUUGGGCGUAAAGAGCUUGUAGGCGGUCUGUCGCGUCUGCUGUGAAAACCCGAGGCUCAACCUCGGGCCUGCAGUGGGUACGGGCAGACUAGAGUGCGGUAGGGGAGAACGGAACUCCUGGUGUAGCGGUGGAAUGCGCAGAUAUCAGGAAGAACACCGAUGGCGAAGGCAGUUCUCUGGGCCGUAACUGACGCUGAGAAGCGAAAGCGUGGGGAGCGAACAGGAUUAGAUACCCCGGUAGUCCCUGUCUCUUAUAU